AUUGCAAUGAAAAUAAAUGUUUUUUAUUAGGCAGAAUCCAGAUGCUCAAGGCCCUUCAUAAUAUCCCCCAGUUUAAAAGCGAGCUUAGUGAUACUUGUGGGCCAGGGCAUUAGCCACACCAGCCACCACUUUCUGAUAGGCAGCCUGCACUGGGCCUCACCACCAACUUCAUCCACGUUCACCUUGCCCCACAGGGCAGUAACGGCAGACUUCUCCUCAGGAGUCAGAUGCACCAUGGUGUCUGUUUGAGGUUGCUAGUGAACACUGUUAUGUCAGAAGAAAGUGUAAGCAACAGUCGACUCUGCCCUGCCUUUUAUGCUGG
RNAcentral lists this long non-coding RNA (322 nucleotides) under Homo sapiens (human). RNAcentral's name for it is "HSALNT0361107". The record is from RNAcentral. Lineage: Eukaryota; Metazoa; Chordata; Mammalia; Primates; Hominidae.